Dreissena polymorpha is the source of this 1671-nucleotide long non-coding RNA. RefSeq lists it as uncharacterized. The record is from RefSeq and is a predicted model, not a curated record. The transcript is spliced from 6 exons. Lineage: Eukaryota; Metazoa; Mollusca; Bivalvia; Myida; Dreissenidae.
UUAAAAGACAUGAAAGCAGAAAUCGAGUCAAAGUCAAAACAAGACGAGGAGUUCCAAAUUACGAUGCUGAAUAAGACUAAACAAGCGGCUGAGAGGGAGGAUGAGUUUAGACGCCUGGUUCUGGCUCAGCUUAACAAAAUGCAGGACCUGCACAGGAAGAAGGCUGACAGCGAACAUAAAGCGAAUUAAGGAAAGGAGCCGUUAAGUGAACACGAUACAUAAUUGACAAUACUGUAUCUAGACCAGUUGGAAAAAGAGAGUUCUAGCACUAGGGGUCUGUAUGAACGAUGUCUAUUUUAGUUCUAUAGAAUAGCUUUAAUAUAUUCACAAUUCCAUUGUGAGUGUUUUUGCCGAAUUAUGUAUAACGUCCUACAACUACGAACUAUUGAAGUGAAUUAAUAUGAAUCUACUGGAGCAUAUCGUGAACAAUUAUGUAUUCAAUAAUACGAUGGCGUAUUUGCAGUGUAUAUACGGAUUGGUGUGAGUGCAAAUGACAAGAGAGAAUGGUAAAAACUAACAACAACAGCUUCGUUACAAUUGUUAGCCAAAAGAUAGUGUGUGAUAAUAUGACGAAUCACGUUAUUACUGGCACAUUUGUCAAUGUAUACGUAAAUUGUACAUGAUAUUGGCUGUGCACAUGUAUCAUUGUCUGAAUCUUAGUUUAUGGUGUAUGUUGUACUUAUUUGUACUAUAACGUGAUAAAAUUUAUGUAUGUAAAGAAAGACCUCACUUAACGCAUGCUUUGUAUAUCUUAUUAUUGUUGUACAUUUCACAGUGAAGUUGUAUAGUGUUGGUAGUGGAAGAAUGUGAGUGUUAGGUGACUGUUUUUGGUACUGAUUUCAUACUAUCUGAUAAUAUAAUUAUUUAAAACGUGAACUGAUUUUUCAUUGCAAAUGCACAUUUUCUAAAAAGAAAUAUUGAUGUUCAUGGCAUACAAUGAUAGCGAUCAGUUGUUUAACUACCUUUUUGACACUUUUUAAACGCUGUCGAUAUUGUUUGCCUGUUAUUGUUACUUCAUAACGUGUGUGCGUUUUUUGGUAUGUUUAGGAGUCCUUUAUUUACACAAAUUUCCAUAUUUCAUAAGCAUGUAAAUGUUUAUUUGUCCUUUGAUCGUUGUAUCUAGGCACACAUAUUAUUGCAGUAAUAUGCAUUUAUUCAACAUUCUGUAGAAUUAGAUGGUUUUAACAACACAAUCAUCAUUUCAAUAGCACAACAGCGUUUAUUAUGCCCCAAAUACUUAUUCUAAUAAUACCAAUACUAACAUAUACUCUGUUACCUGUUUCGGGCAUUAAGAAGCAGGGGCCGAAUAAUCCCAACACUAAAAUAAACAUUUUAAUCUGUUUGAUGAAUUUAAAAACUGGGGCUUGAUUGAAUCAUACAAAACUUGUAACAAACAAAGUCCGCCUGAUGCACAUAACUGUAAGUGUGUUUCUCCAUACUAUUUUGACAUUACUUUAAAUUCUCGAAUCCGUCGUUGUGCUCCCUUUGAAAUGCAUAUAGCAUUAUUUUCACUAUACCAUACAAUAUCCAUUUGAAGCAGAUGAAAAUAAAAGUAUAUUAAAAAUUUGCAUUCUUGAAUUGCAUAUGGCGGUGCAUGUUCUUCAUAUACACUGUAAAUGUUAUUCAUAUAACAGUUUUAAUGAACAGAUAUAUUUUAUGCAAAUCAUUGUU